This 469-nucleotide ribosomal RNA is filed under the name uncultured bacterium. Its description in RNAcentral is "partial 16S ribosomal RNA". It matches the Rfam family "Bacterial small subunit ribosomal RNA", at positions 28 to 507 of the family's 1533-position model. The record is from RNAcentral.
GACGAACGCUGGCGGCGUGCUUAACACAUGCAAGUCGAACGGAAAGGCCCUGCUUGCAGGGUGCUCGAGUGGCGAACGGGUGAGUAACACGUGGGUGAUCUGCCCCUUACUUUGGGAUAGGCCUGGGAAACUGGGUCUAAUACUGGAUAGGACCAUGCUGUAGGUGGUGUGGUGGAAAGAUUAGUUUCGGUAAGGGAUGAGCUCGCGGCCUAUCAGCUUGUUGGUGGGGUAGUGGCCUACCAAGGCGUCGACGGGUAGCCGGCCUGAGAGGGUGGACGGCCACAUCAGGACUGUGAUACGGCCCAGAGUACUACGGGAGGCAGCAUUGGGGAAUAUUGCACAAUGGGAGGAAGCCUGAUGCAGCGACGCCGCGGGGGGGAUGACGGCCUUCGGGUUGGAAACUCCUUUCAGCCAUGACGAAGCCCUUGUGGUGACGGUAGUGGUAGAAGAAGCACCGGCUAACUACGUG